This 21-nucleotide microRNA is filed under the name Triticum aestivum (bread wheat). RNAcentral's name for it is "tae-miR9780". The record is from miRBase by way of RNAcentral. Lineage: Eukaryota; Viridiplantae; Streptophyta; Magnoliopsida; Poales; Poaceae.
CGGGUCGGCGCUGCACGCGGC